AUUCUUUUAGUAUUAAUAAGUACAAC
This 26-nucleotide transfer RNA is filed under the name Tragelaphus scriptus (bushbuck). Its description in RNAcentral is "partial tRNA-Gly". Lineage: Eukaryota; Metazoa; Chordata; Mammalia; Artiodactyla; Bovidae. The record is from RNAcentral.